Molecule: transfer RNA, 65 nt
Filed under: Xenopsylla cheopis (oriental rat flea)
Lineage: Eukaryota; Metazoa; Arthropoda; Insecta; Siphonaptera; Pulicidae
Description: tRNA-Phe
Source: RNAcentral
AUUUAAAUAGCUUAUAAGUAGAGUAUAACUUUGAAGAUGUUAUGGAGAAUAGUAUUCUUUAAAUA